This 484-nucleotide ribosomal RNA is filed under the name uncultured bacterium. Its description in RNAcentral is "partial 16S ribosomal RNA". It matches the Rfam family "Bacterial small subunit ribosomal RNA", at positions 30 to 507 of the family's 1533-position model. The record is from RNAcentral.
AUUGAACGCUGGCGGCAGGCCUAACACAUGCAAGUCGAGCGGAUGAAGGGAGCUUGCUCCUGGAUUCAGCGGCGGACGGGCGAGUAAUGCCUAGGAAUCUGCCUGGUAGUGGGGGAUAACGUCCGGAAACGGGCGCUAAUACCGCAUACGUCCUGAGGGAGAAAGUGGGGGAUCUUCGGACCUCACGCUAUCAGAUGAGCCUAGGUCGGAUUAGCUAGUUGGUGGGGUAAAGGCCUACCAAGGCGACGAUCCGUAACUGGUCUGAGAGGAUGAUCAGUCACACUGGAACUGAGACACGGUCCAGACUCCUACGGGAGGCAGCAGUGGGGAAUAUUGGACAAUGGGCGAAAGCCUGAUCCGGCCAUGCCGCGUGUGUGAAGAAGGUCUUCGGAUUGUAAAGCACUUUAAGUUGGGAGGAAGGGCAGUAAGUUAAUACCUUGCUGUUUUGACGUUACCAACAGAAUAAGCACCGGCUAACUUCGUG